AAUGUAUGAAGGAGGCCUUCGGGUUGUAAAGUACUUUCAACGAGAAGAAGGUUCAUACGUUAAUAGCGUAUGGANUUGACGUUAGCUGCAGAAGAAGCUCCGGCUAACUCCGUGACAGCAGCCGCGGUAAAACGGAGGGUGCGAGCGUUAAUCGGAAUUACUGGGCGUAAAGCGCAUGCAGGUGGUUUGUUAAGUCAGAUGUGAAAGCCCGGGGCUCAACCUCGGAAUUGCAUUUGAAACUGGCAGACUAGAGUACUGUAGAGGGGGGUAGAAUUUCAGGUGUAGCGGUGAAAUACGUAGAGAUCUGAAGGAAUACCGGUGGCGAAGGCGGCCCCCUGGACAGAUACUGACACUCAGAUGCGAAAGCGUGGGGAGCAAACAGGAUUAGAUACCCUGGUAGUCCACGCCGUAAACGAUGUCUACUUGGAGGUUGUGGCCUUGAGCCGUGGCUUUCGAG
This 457-nucleotide ribosomal RNA is filed under the name Vibrio sp. BH1. RNAcentral describes it as "bacterial SSU rRNA". It matches the Rfam family "Bacterial small subunit ribosomal RNA", at positions 400 to 850 of the family's 1533-position model. The record is from RNAcentral. Lineage: Bacteria; Pseudomonadati; Pseudomonadota; Gammaproteobacteria; Vibrionales; Vibrionaceae.